Molecule: ribosomal RNA, 800 nt
Filed under: uncultured Acidobacteriota bacterium
Lineage: Bacteria; Pseudomonadati; Acidobacteriota
Description: bacterial SSU rRNA
Rfam family: Bacterial small subunit ribosomal RNA
Source: RNAcentral
AGGGUUUGAUCAUGGCUCAGAAUGAACGCUGGCGGCGUGCUUUACACAUGCAAGUCGAGCGAGGCGGCCCGCAAGGGCCAGUCGAGCGGCGAACGGGUGAGUAACACGUGGAUCAUCUGCCCAGAGGUGGGGGAUAACCCGGGGAAACUCGGGCUAAUACCGCAUAUGACCGGAAGGUCAAAGGGGGGUCGCAAGAUCUCUCGCCAUUGGAGGAGUCCGCGUCCGAUUAGCUAGUUGGUAGGGUAAUGGCCUACCAAGGCGACGAUCGGUAGCCGGCCUGAGAGGGUGAUCGGCCACACUGGAACUGAGACACGGUCCAGACUCCUACGGGAGGCAGCAGUGGGGAAUUUUGCGCAAUGGGCUAACGCCUGACGCAGCAACGCCGCGUGGAGGAUGAAGGUCUUUGGAUUGUAAACUCCUGUCAGCAGGGAAAAAGCGACUCGGACUCAUACUCCGGGGUGUUGAUUGUACCUGCAGAGGAAGCCCCGGCUAACUCUGUGCCAGCAGCCGCGGUAAUACAGAGGGGGCAAGCGUUAUUCGGAAUUAUUGGGCGUAAAGGGCGCGUAGGCGGCCUGGCAAGUGGAAGGUGAAAUCCCUCGGCUUAACCGAGGAAUUGCCUUCCAUACUGCUUGGCUUGAGACCAGGAGAGGUGAGUGGAAUUCCCAGUGUAGCGGUGAAAUGCGUAGAUAUUGGGAGGAACACCAGUGGCGAAGGCGGCUCACUGGACUGGUACUGACGCUGAGGCGCGAAAGCGUGGGGAGCAAACGGGAUUAGAUACCCCGGUAGUCCACGCCGUAAAC